CGGGGUGUGGCGCAGUACGGUAGCGCACCGCGUUUGGGACGCGGGGGUCGGCGGUUCAAGUCCGCCCGCCCCGACCU
Molecule: transfer RNA, 77 nt
Filed under: Chloroflexota bacterium
Lineage: Bacteria; Bacillati; Chloroflexota
Description: Chloroflexi bacterium (sediment metagenome) tRNA-Pro
Rfam family: tRNA
About the family: Transfer RNA (tRNA) molecules are approximately 80 nucleotides in length. Their secondary structure includes four short double-helical elements and three loops (D, anti-codon, and T loops).
Source: RNAcentral